CGUAGUGANUGCGGAGGNNCAUUAUCGUACAACCGAGGUGCGGAGGGCUGUCGCUGACNUUUGUCGUGCACGCCCAAAGUGCUCUCAAACAAUAUCCAUCUCACCCAUUUGUGCAUCAUCGCGUGGGUCCUGCUUUUUGGCUUGUCCCAAGGAGGGGGGCUCGCGUUUUCACACAAACACCCUUUUAAUGCAGUGUAGAAUGUUCUUUUGCGAUGACUCGCAAUAAAUACAACUUUCAACAACGGAUCUCUUGGCUCUCGCAUCGAUGAAGAACGCAGCGAAAUGCGAUACGUAAUGUGAAUUGCAGAAUUCAGUGAAUCAUCGAAUCUUUGAACGCACCUUGCGCCCCUUGGCAUUCCGAGGGGCACACCCGUUUGAGUGUCGUGACAUUCUCAAAAAGAACCCUUCUUGGUCUUGCGAUCGGGAAAGGCUUUUUUUUGGACUUUGGAGGUUAUUGCUGGUCCCCCCUUGAUAGCCAGCUCCUCUUANANGAAUUAGUAGGGACCGCUUUGCUGACCCUAGACGUGAUAAGAUGUUUCUGCGUCUUGGG
This 550-nucleotide unclassified non-coding RNA is filed under the name uncultured fungus. RNAcentral describes it as "sequence contains ITS1, 5.8S rRNA gene, ITS2". The stretch from base 231 to 384 matches the Rfam family "5.8S ribosomal RNA". The record is from RNAcentral. Lineage: Eukaryota; Fungi.